RNAcentral lists this ribosomal RNA (253 nucleotides) under uncultured bacterium. RNAcentral's name for it is "partial 16S ribosomal RNA". It matches the Rfam family "Bacterial small subunit ribosomal RNA", at positions 524 to 776 of the family's 1533-position model. The record is from RNAcentral.
GACGAACCGUGCGAACGUUGUUCGGAUUCACUGGGCUUAAAGGGCGCGUAGGCGGGCAUGCAAGUCAGGGGUGAAAUCUUUCGGCUUAACCGGAAAACAGCCCCUGAUACUGCGUGUCUAGAGGGAGGUAGGGGCAUGCGGAACUUCCGGUGGAGCGGUGAAAUGCGUUGAUAUCGGAAGGAACUCCGGUGGCGAAAGCGGCGUGCUGGACCUCAUCUGACGCUGAGGCGCGAAAGCUAGGGGAGCAAACGGG